AUGCAGAGUCAAGUCAGAGCAGCAGAGCUGUAGAGAAAAGAAUAGGCGUGCUACUUGUGAGCAUCACAUCGUCUCUUCAGAGACAUUAGGGCAAGUGUCUUACUAGAGGUCACAAAAGGGCAUUCCAACAUGGGUGGUUUUAUGAUCACUGGCAAGUAAGAGUCAGUCUUGAGCCCAGGCCAGUACUAGCCCAGGAGAUAACAAGCCAGAUAACAAAGAUAUGAAAGGGCAAUUCCUACCCAAAGACAAUAUGUGAGGCAGUGAGUGAUGCAAUGGGCAUUUUUCCAGGAAAGGAAAGACCACGGUGAGUCCUGGACUGUGCUUGAGCUGGGCUGUUCCUGAGAUGGAGAGGCUUGCACUGAAGAGGCCUGAAUGGAGCAGAGACACCUACCUUGCCUGAGCCUUGGGUGUGUUCAGCUUCCAGAAGGGACUUUGUGCUUCUCACUGCUGUGCAGUAUUCCACUGUCACCCCCAAAGCCUCAUGCACUCUGAGGUGAGGCUUGUGGAAGGUGGUUGGAUUGAGAGGACACUACAGCUGACUUAGUGUUAGGAGAUGGGCCCUGAUCAGAAGAGGAGUCAUUGUGAGUAUGACCUGGAAGUGUGUACCCCCCACCCCCCGCUCCUCCCUUCUCUCUGCUUCCUGGCCACUAUGAGGUGAACAGCUUGUCCUCUACCAUGUCUCUCCGUCACGCUGUCCUGCCUUGGAGCCAGCUUACUAUGCACUGAAAUGUGAGCCAAAAUAAAGUUCUCUCCUUUUAAGUUGUAAGCAUCAGGUACUGUGUCGCAGCAAUGAGAAAGUGACUAUGACAAACAUAUGGACCAUUCUUAAAUUUGCUUGUUAUGAACCAAAUGCCUAUCUUGUGGUGAACAAAAGCACCCAUUUCUUUUGGACAUGUAUACCCAGCAGUAGACACCAUUAAACAAGGUAUAUGUAUGCCUAGUCUUAGUGGUGCUUCCAAAGCAGUUAUCUAUUGUACACUCCUACUAGCAUUUCUUAAUUGGAGUGUCUGUCUCUUGCUUAUUGAUUUGUAUAAUUUCUUACAUAUUUUAAAAAUUAUGGUCCUUUUUCUAAUAGAUGAGUUAUAAUUCUCUUGUCUCAGUCCAUAGUUUGUUUCUCUCAUAGUGUCUUUU
This 1131-nucleotide long non-coding RNA is filed under the name Heterocephalus glaber (naked mole-rat). RNAcentral's name for it is "lncRNA (ENSHGLG00100038215.1)". The record is from RNAcentral. Lineage: Eukaryota; Metazoa; Chordata; Mammalia; Rodentia; Bathyergidae.